Molecule: ribosomal RNA, 54 nt
Filed under: Nephroselmis pyriformis
Lineage: Eukaryota; Viridiplantae; Chlorophyta; Nephroselmidophyceae; Nephroselmidales; Nephroselmidaceae
Description: partial Trypanosomatid mitochondrial large subunit ribosomal RNA
Source: RNAcentral
AAUAAUAAUAAUAAAAAUUAAAUAAAUAAAAUUAAAUAAAUAAAUAAAUAACUA